CCAGACUCCUACGGGAGGCAGCAGUGGGGAAUAUUGCACAAUGGGGGGAACCCUGAUGCAGCAAUGCCGCGUGAAGGAAGAAGGCUUUCGGGUUGUAAACUUCUUUUCUCAGGGACGAAGCAAGUGACGGUACCUGAGGAAUAAGCCACGGCUAACUACGUGCCAGCAGCCGCGGUAAUACGUAGGUGGCAAGCGUUAUCCGGAUUUACUGGGUGUAAAGGGCGUGUAGGCGGGACUGCAAGUCAGAUGUGAAAACCACGGGCUCAACCUGUGGCCUGCAUUUGAAACUGUAGUUCUUGAGUACUGGAGAGGCAGACGGAAUUCCUAGUGUAGCGGUGAAAUGCGUAGAUAUUAGGAGGAACACCAGUGGCGAAGGCGGUCUGCUGGACAGCAACUGACGCUGAGGCUCGAAAGCGUGGGGAGCAAACAGGAUUAGAUACCCCGGUA
RNAcentral lists this ribosomal RNA (447 nucleotides) under uncultured bacterium. RNAcentral describes it as "bacterial SSU rRNA". It matches the Rfam family "Bacterial small subunit ribosomal RNA", at positions 331 to 792 of the family's 1533-position model. The record is from RNAcentral.